This is a long non-coding RNA of Mauremys reevesii (Reeves's turtle), 1049 nucleotides long. RefSeq lists it as uncharacterized. The record is from RefSeq and is a predicted model, not a curated record. NCBI's taxonomy places the organism in Eukaryota, Metazoa, Chordata, Testudines, Geoemydidae. The transcript has 3 exons.
GGGGGACAUGGGGGUGCCCAGACCAGGGCUACGUGUGGAGCUGCAGGGAGCAGGUGCUUUGGUGUGGCUGGGGAGACUCCCGACGCGGGGCUGCCAGACAGCUGUUCUCCUGCUUGCAUCUCUAUCCAUGCAGAACCUGACUCUGACAGAAACACAUGCCUACUGAUUUACAUCUAGUUUCCUGGUAUUACAUGUUUGCUGUGCUAUUCUGAAUGUUUCCAUAAGUUAUGGAGUGUGGCACAGGCAGCCAUCUGAAGUAGCAAGGACGGUUACACCACUUUUCAAAGACCUUCCCUGGCCUAUCUCGGCAACUCAACUUUUUGUUUUGUUUUUUUGUUUUGGCGGGGGGACAACCAAAGAGCCUAAGAGAAGAAUGAGGCAGCUGAAAGGAAAACCCAAAAAGGAGACCUCCAGAGAUAAAAAGGAGAGAAAGCAGGCAAUGCAAGAGGCUCGACAACAAAUCACCACUGUUGUGCUUCCCACAAUGGCUGUUGUUGUGCUUUUAAUUGUUGUGUUUGUUUAUGUGGCGACUCGCCCAAAUUCAACUGAAUGAUGCAGCUUUUUAAAUUCUCUAACUUCGUGUAUUAAUGCUCAUAUUUAAUGAAGAGCCAAAAAAACCCCCCAAACCUUUCUUCCAAGAUCCCACUUUUUAAUAGUAUUUUACAAAGGAACCUACUGUCAUCUUCAGUCUUCUACUUAGAGUGCUAUGAUUUCUGUUUUGGAAUGUAACAUAAAACGGAUUAGUGAGCGUGCCAAUACGUUUUAUGGUCUAGUUGAUGUGCCUUUCAGACUUUUUAAAUGGUGUUUUUUUCUUAAAGCUCUUUGAAGUUCUAUAUUGUGAAAGGAAACUCUGUUGUGUUAUACAUUUGUAUAAAUCAGCUUUCAGAUUUUAUCACUGUAAUCUGUAAUGUUGCUCCCAUGAGUUUUUGUAUGUCUGUUUCACAACUUCCAAAGAAGUACAUUUCUUCUUUGUGCUUAAUGUCAUUUGAAAUGCUCUGAUUUAAAAUAUAUAUAUAUAUAUUUUUUGAAUAAAGAAGAUAUUAAUCUUA